RNAcentral lists this long non-coding RNA (1432 nucleotides) under Bemisia tabaci. RNAcentral describes it as "lncRNA ENSSSA1UGG005991". Lineage: Eukaryota; Metazoa; Arthropoda; Insecta; Hemiptera; Aleyrodidae. The record is from RNAcentral.
UUAUUUUUUUUUUUUUUUAAUAUAUAAUUUAAAAAAAAAAAACAAUUUUUUGUUUGUUGGUGAAUGGGUGUUUUUUUUAGUUAUUAAGAUUUAGUUACAGGCUAAAUACUACUGCACAAUCUCCCAUCAAUGUAGCUUACUUACCUGAGCAGUUUUUUUUCAUAUAUGGAAUGUUUCUUGUCGGAUCGUUUUCUUGCUCGUUUUUUUUCUCCUUGCGAAAGUCUCUAAGUGGAUCAUGUUUCUGAAAUUGUGCUUACAUUUGAAAAAUUUCUAGAAAUUAUCAGGUGUGUUUUUUUUCCAUCUCUUCUCAAUUAGCCGUGGUUUACUUUUCAUGUUUAUAGAUCCGGAGCUGGAAUUACCUGCACUUUUCUCAUCCUGUGUUUACACUCAGACAGUUUGUUGCUGUGCUGAUAUUUUUUCUCUGUUUUCAGCAGAUUAUGCGCGGCUAGUUGUGUGUGCAGAAAUGCGAGCGCGUAAACAAUAUGCUCCUAGGCGAUGCCACAACGCCGCAUUUGUUUUGAGAUACAAAGAUUCAUUCAUUGUUUGCAGUUCUUAUGUUUAAUUUUUUAUUUUUUUAUUUUGGAAUUGUUUGGUAUUCAUCCUGUCUAGUUUGUAAGUAAUGUUGUAAGGGCAGUCAGGGCACCUAGGUCCCGGUGGGGAGCAGGCGCUUGGCCCCGUUUUUCCAUCAAGGGGGAGUGUCGAGGAUGCAUUUCACUGUGAUGGGAAAACGGGGCAAAGCAGUGUUGCGUGGAAAGUUCGCACGCUCUUCUCGGUGAUUCUUAGGCAACUUGGCAAGUUUCAGUGGAGGCGAAUCUUCUGCUCCUACUGAAACUUGCUGAGUCUGCUGAAAUCGCCGAGUGGCUCGUGCGAAGUUUUUCCUACGCGGCGCUGGAGCGUUUAGUCGAGUUUGUAGUGGCGAUGCCCAAGGUGUGAACGGCUGUUUUUCUCUGAAUAUACGAUCCAUGUCUUGCCCAAAAUCCAUUUUUGUGAUUUUUCCAUCUUUACCAGCGUAUCCUCGGAUUUGACAUGUAAUAUGCAGUUAACAUUUUCAAUGUGACAUCCGCAGAAAAUAUUUCGUAUAUCUCUUUCAAAUACCCAGAAAAAUGGUCGAUAAAAUUAUUUUUAAAGUGCAACUUUCAUUGGAUGAUUCAACGGUAAAAGUCUUAUCUUUAAAUCUCGGCUAUGGACAGUUGAAAAUAAAGGUAUAAAAAAGGAGUAAUUAAAUUUUAUCUCUCGUUUCAUGCCUUUCCGUAAUUACUCAGCAGUUUCCAUCCGAAUAUUCACUACUAAAUAUUUGCCUUUCACGAGGCGGCAACAACUCCGCGCUUAAGAUGUACCUAAUGAUGUUGUAGAAUAUUAAUUGUGCGUCACAACAUCCCCCUCCCUUACCUCCCCCGCGCUAAACGCGGUUCGGUUUAAUUACAUCGUAACA